Molecule: ribosomal RNA, 285 nt
Filed under: Triticum aestivum (bread wheat)
Lineage: Eukaryota; Viridiplantae; Streptophyta; Magnoliopsida; Poales; Poaceae
Description: partial small subunit ribosomal RNA
Source: RNAcentral
AUGCUAGUACGGAAGUUUUGGUGGGGUUCAAAGGAUGGCCGCCGGAAGCCCCAUUGGGUCUCGUGGAAGGAUAUGACACAACCUAAAUCAAUGGGAGGGCUAGGCUUCAAGGACUUUGAGUUAUUCAAUUUGGCAAUGCUUGCGAAGCAGGGAUGGCGACUCCUCCAACAACCAGAGACUCUCAGUGCGCGGAUCCUGAAGGCCGUGUAUUACCCUACAUCUUCUAUUCUGCAAGCAACCAUUGGGUCCCAUCCUAGCCAAAUCUGGAGGGCGAUCAUUGAGGGG